AACGCACAUUGCGCCCCCUGGCAUUCCGGGGGGCAUGCCUGUCCGAGCGUCAUUUCAACCCCUCAAGCGCGGCUUGUGACAUGGGCGACCCGUCCCCCCGGGGACGCGCCAGGAACACAGUGGGGAUGUCGCGGUAUCACCGGUGCCUCAGCGUAUGGGAGCAAACCAGAGCUGCACGGCGGGUGCGCGGCGUCGACCUCAGAGGGCCUCCAGGCCCAACACCAACCACGGUUGACCUCGGAUCAGGUAGGGAUACCCGCUGAACUUAA
This 269-nucleotide unclassified non-coding RNA is filed under the name uncultured Eurotiomycetes. RNAcentral's name for it is "sequence contains 5.8S rRNA gene, ITS2, 28S rRNA gene". Lineage: Eukaryota; Fungi; Ascomycota; Eurotiomycetes. The record is from RNAcentral.